Molecule: transfer-messenger RNA, 374 nt
Filed under: Campylobacterota bacterium
Lineage: Bacteria; Pseudomonadati; Campylobacterota
Also listed under: 2 other names
Description: Epsilonproteobacteria bacterium (hot springs metagenome) transfer-messenger RNA
Rfam family: transfer-messenger RNA
About the family: Bacterial tmRNA, also known as 10Sa RNA or SsrA, is named for its dual tRNA and mRNA-like properties. Its role is to liberate the mRNA from a stalled ribosome. To accomplish this part of the tmRNA is used as a reading frame that ends in a translation stop signal.
Source: RNAcentral
GGGGAUGACUUGGUUUCGACUGGAGUAGUCGGGGCUAUGUGCAUGUCGGACUGGGCAAUUCCGUUACGCGGCCCAACGCGAAUAAACGCAAACAAUACAGAUUAUCGUCCAGCUUACGCAGUAGCGUAAGUAUUUAACCCCGCUAACGCGGAGGACUGCCUCGCUAGUGAGUGUCAUCUUAGCUAGAGUUUGAGGUAUCAUAUCUGAUGACUAUACCCGAAGGCUGCCUAACCUUUGGAUGAACCUUUAGGCUGGUCUUGCAUAGUUUUGGGUGUAGUACGAAGCAAGAUGAGACCAAACAACACCGCCUAAGCAUGUAGAGUCAUGGUUCUAUCUAUUUUAGGACAGGGGUUCGAUCCCCCUCAUCUCCACCA